Sycon ciliatum is the source of this 2061-nucleotide RNA transcript. It is a transcript of the gene named molybdopterin synthase catalytic subunit-like, with no coding region annotated. The record is from RefSeq and is a predicted model, not a curated record. The transcript has 6 exons. Lineage: Eukaryota; Metazoa; Porifera; Calcarea; Leucosolenida; Sycettidae.
GCAUGCAUCGUUUUAAAAUUUUGUCUACGACCUCGUAUUAUUUUUGCAUCAGAAUAGUUUGUAGUGGACCUAUCAAAUCCUGCUUGUUUGUCUUUGGCCCUACGACAACAAUCUUUACUUUCUUUGGAUGCUGACUGUGUGAGAAAGGGAAACCUGCUGCCAACAAAAUUAUAAAGGCCAAGAUUCGUGGUGUACUCUGCAACCCCGCGACAAGUACGGACUAUUCGCUGAUCGUGGUCGAGUCUGAACAGCUUGCUACUUUUACUAGUAGCACUAUUCUUGUUUCAGAAUGACUGAGGAGAGAAAAGAUUACGUGCUUCUGUCUCACGAUGUGCUGAGUAUUCAGAAGUGUAUUGAUCUCGUUGGGGACACAUCAGCUGGUGCAAUAUCCACCUUCAUAGGCACAACACGGGAUCAUUUUCAAGGCAAACGGGUUCUGAAGUUGUCCUAUGAAGCAUAUGAGAGCAUGGCAGAGUGUCAGCUGUAUGCUCUGUUGAAGUCUGUACGAGAACGCUGGAACGUACAUCAUGCUGCUGUCUUUCAUAGACUAGGGGAAGUUCCCAUCGGCGAAGCCAGCGUAAUGAUUGCUAUAUCGUCUUGUCAUCGCAAGGAAUCACUCGAAGCAGUUAGCUAUGCCAUCGACGCACUGAAAGCUAACGUGCCAAUCUGGAAGAAGGAGAUCUACGAUGAUGGUGACAGCACUUGGAAAGAGAACAGUGAAUGCUCUUGGGCUACGUCAGCGACUGCUGCACAUUCCUCCUCUGCUACUCCUGCGAUUGCCAAAGAACAUCAGUCCACAUCACAGCAAACGACCAGCAAGUGUGAAGACGGAAUGGCUUCCGUCAGCUAGCUACCGGUAUGUGCUGGCGGUCCAUUGCGGAUCUUGCAGCACGUCAUGUGCGCUCUCGUCAAUUGAUCGCUGAUGUCCGCAUGCAGCUAGGAAUAUUCCACUACGUGUUUACAUUGUACAUGAACGGUGUACGCGGUCAGCUUCUCAACACACUGACUAGUCAGCGCAUUGUGUGUGUGAGGAUUGUCCAGCCAGCAGUACUGCAUACUGAAUAAGUUAUCUACUUCAUUGAGCAGCUCAACAUCCACUCGGAGUAAUCCUCUGUGCCGACCAGUAUGUAUUCCUUGGCGCGGCUUGCCAUGCCCUGCGGUCAGACGAAUACACUAUGAGACUGACUCCAACUGACUGGGCAGCACUGGAGCGCGCAGUUGUCAUUUGAUUGACUUGAGUAAUGGCUAGAUAGCGGCCACUGGUCAUGCACUGCAGCUUUCUGUUGUCAUCACUGGCUGUGUUGUACCAUGCUGUCGGACUGUCAUUUGAAUGCAUCAUAGUGCCGAGAGCGAGCGAGAGAGAGAGAGAGAGAGAGAGAGAGAGAGAGAGAGAGAGAGAGAGAGAGAGAGAGAGAGAGAGAGAGAGAGAGAGAGAGAGAGAGAGAGAGAGAGAGAGAGAAAGAGAGAGAGAGAGAGAGAGAGAGAGAACAGUGGGAUGGAGGCACUUGCAUUUUGGUCAUGCUUUGCAUAUCCAAAGCUUGGCAUAUGCAGCUCUCUGCUUUCGACUAUGAACGAAACGACAACGUCAGCUGAGGCAAUGCUGGGACAAUCUGAUGGCACUGCAGCUUAUUAUCUGCUGCACAUGGCUAUCAUGCAGAUUAUCGCUUACAUAACGUUACAGUACAGUGUGCCUUCUGUACUGUACUCUACAUAUUGAACAGUGAACAUGAUUCAAGCCCGGCUAUAAAGUACAGAUUUUACGAUUUUCCUUUGAUUAUGCCCUUGACCUGGUCUUUCAGCACAGACUGCUAUUAUAAAUAUUGUGUUGCUUUUGGCCGAAAAAAAGAGGCCCGUUGACCUUUUGUAUGGCCCUUGGGGGUGUGUUGUACGCUGUGCUUCAUCAUAGUUCUAACUUAUUUUUGUCUUAUUUUCACUUGAGUUACUGUGGCUGGUACUGCAGUUCGCCUUUGACUUAUAAGGUGCAGAGCGUCUCUGGAAACCGAUGUCCAUAUUGUACUAACUUAGUAGGUGAGAGUGGAGUUGGGGACGUCUUCUCAAUCU